Molecule: ribosomal RNA, 800 nt
Filed under: uncultured fungus
Lineage: Eukaryota; Fungi
Description: eukaryotic LSU rRNA
Rfam family: Eukaryotic small subunit ribosomal RNA (bases 1-190)
Source: RNAcentral
AUUACGUCCCUGCCCUUUGUACACGCCGCCCGUCGCUACUACCGAUUGAAUGGCUUAGUGAGGUCUUGGGAUUGGCUUCGGGGAGCCGGCAACGGCACCCUGUCGCUGAGAACUUGAUCAAACUUGGUCAUUUAGAGGAAGUAAAAGUCGUAACAAGGUUUCCGUAGGUGAACCUGCGGAAGGAUCAUUAUCGAGUUUUGAAACGGGUUGUAGCUGGCCUUCCGAGGCAUGUGCACGCCCUGCUCAUCCACUCUACACCUGUGCACUUACUGUAGGCUUUCAGGAGCUUCUAGAGCAGAGAUGGUCGGCCUUCACAGGUCGGUCGCCUAAGUUUUCUAGUUAUGACUGGGGCUUACGUCUUACCACAAACUCUUAUAAGUAUCAGAAUGUGUAUUGCGAUGUAACGCAUCUAUAUACAACUUUCAGUAACGGAUCUCUUGGCUCUCGCAUCGAUGAAGAACGCAGCGAAAUGCGAUAAGUAAUGUGAAUUGCAGAAUUCAGUGAAUCAUCGAAUCUUUGAACGCACCUUGCGCUCCUAGGUAUUCCUUGGAGCAUGCCUGUUUGAGUAUCAUGAAAUUCUCAACUCCCAAGUUUCUUACUUGGUGAGCUUGGAUUUGGAGGCUUGUGCUGGCUUCUUGAAAGUCAAGCUCCUGUAAAAUGCAUUAGCGUGAAUCUUACGAAUCGCCUUCAGUGUGAUAAUUGUCUACGCUGUGGCUGUGAAGUAUUUAUGUGUUCAUGCUUAUAAUCGUCUCUAAGACAAUUUCUUAACUUCUGAUCUCAAAUCAGGUAGGACUACCCGC